AUCUUUGCGCUUGGGGCAAUGACGCAGCUAGUGAGGUUAUACCGAGGCGCGUCAAUUGCUGGUUGAAAACUAUUUCCAAACCCCCUCUGUGGCCUGGCCACAGAGAAUUUCUGGAAGGGCUCCCUUUAACUAGGGGAAAACC
This 142-nucleotide small nuclear RNA is filed under the name Setaria italica (foxtail millet). RNAcentral's name for it is "snRNA U4". It matches the Rfam family "U4 spliceosomal RNA". From Rfam's summary of the family: U4 small nuclear RNA (U4 snRNA) is a component of the major U2-dependent spliceosome. The record is from Rfam by way of RNAcentral. Lineage: Eukaryota; Viridiplantae; Streptophyta; Magnoliopsida; Poales; Poaceae.